This is a long non-coding RNA of Hemiscyllium ocellatum (epaulette shark), 1761 nucleotides long. RefSeq lists it as uncharacterized. NCBI's taxonomy places the organism in Eukaryota, Metazoa, Chordata, Chondrichthyes, Orectolobiformes, Hemiscylliidae. The record is from RefSeq and is a predicted model, not a curated record. The transcript is spliced from 3 exons.
UUGUGCAAACUCCACGCAGACAGUUGCCCGAGGCGGGAAUUGAAUCUGGGUCCCUGACGCUGUAAGGCAGUAGUGCCGGGUAUGUUACGUCUUCAAAACACACACUAAAUUUUAGGCUUGCAUUUACACAUUCAUUUUAGCAAUUUAUAUGCAAGCAAUGUAAUUUACUUCAGUGAAAUAUGUAUGGGGCUCUCCCGCCCCUCCAACAUAACUCUAGUGGAAGAGCUACAAAUAGCCUGAAAAAAAGCACAAUUGCUGGUUCCAAGACAUCUCAGAGCAAAACUGGAAAUCCCUACAUUAUGGCCUGCUAUUGAUACAUUUUCAUUUGGAAAUGUUGGAACUGGAUUAGCAACUGAGAUGGAACAGCUCACCAGUUCUCAGACACACUAUGACAGGACCUGGUGGAAAUGCUCCAGAGGAGGCUGGCCUUGAGGGCAUCUAGAACGUUCCUUGGAAGACGCUGAAUUCCAGACAAUAUUCUCCGGGAAGGCAUGUUAAUAGCAUGAAUACAUCCUGCUCUGAAACGUGUUCCACAGUCAACGGUUUUGUGCUGCGACUUUACAAUUGUCUCUCAGCUUGUUGAGGAUUACAAAUCUAAAUUUUCAAAUUGCUCUGGAUGAACUGAAUAGUGCUGGCUGUUUAUAAUCUGGAAUUCCAGAUCCUCAAUACUGUAAAUGCAAUGGGCUUGGCAGAACGACCGUGUCAUUAUAUAGUCUCAUUUUUAAAGGCUUCAUUUUUGAUCACUAUUUUGAGCUACCUGGCAUAGGUCUGUGAAGGUCAUGCAUGAUAUAUUGUUAUCUAUCUAACAUUUUAUGUUGACCUGAUGUUCACCUCUGCAGUCCUUAUUCCAAUAGUCACAAACAAGACAUCAUAAAUCAAUCUGACGGAAUCAACCCCUGGUAUGGUGCAGAGUUAUUUGUCAGAAUCUUCAACCACUGUCUCUCCAGUAGUCAUUUAGAGUCACAGAGACAUACAUCAUGGAAACAGUCUAACUCUAACUUGCCGACCAAGUUUCCCAAACUAAACUAGUCCCACUUGCCUGUGCUUGGCCCAUAUCUCUCCAAAACUUUCCUAUUCAUGUACUUAUCCAAAUGUCUUAUAAAUGUUGUAACUGUACCUGUAUCUACCAAUCCCUCUAUCAGUUCAUUCCACAAAUGAACCACCCUCUAAGCGAUAAAGUUGUCCCUCAGGUCCUUCUAUAUUUUUUUCCUCUCACCUUAAAAAUAUGCCCCCUAGUUUUGAACCUCUCCACCCUUGGGAAAAGACUUUUGCUAUUCAGUUUAUUUAUGCCCCUGAUGAUUUUAUAAACCUCUAUAAGGUUACCCCUCAACUUUUUGUGCUCCAGUGAGAAAGGUCCCAGCCUACCCAGCCUGUCCUUAUAACUCAAGCCCUCCAUUCCCAGCAAUGUUCUGGUGGAUUUCUUCUGAACCCUCUCCAAUUUAAUAUUAUCCUUCUUACAGCAGGAUGAUCAGAACUGUACAGAGCACUCCUAAAGUGCCCUCACCAAAGUCCUGUACAAUCUCAGCAUGAUGUCCCAACUGCUAUACUCAGUGGUCUGAGCAAUAAAGUCAUAUAUGCUAAAUGCCUUCUUAACCACACUGACUACCUGUGACACUACAAACAAUGUACCUGAACUCCUAGAUCUCUUUGUUUGACAACACUACCCAGAGUCUUACUAUUAACUGUAUAAGUCCUGCCCUUGUUAGUUUUAUCAAAAUGCAAUACCUUGUAUUUAUCCAAAUUAAACUCCAUCUGCCACUC